RNAcentral lists this unclassified non-coding RNA (314 nucleotides) under plant metagenome. RNAcentral describes it as "partial contains 5.8S ribosomal RNA, internal transcribed spacer 2, and large subunit ribosomal RNA". The stretch from base 1 to 105 matches the Rfam family "5.8S ribosomal RNA", at positions 50 to 154 of the family's 154-position model. The record is from RNAcentral.
GAAAUGCGAUAAUUAAUGUGAAUUGCAGAAUUCAGUGAAUCAUCGAGUCUUUGAACGCACAUUGCGCCCCCUGGUAUUCCGGGGGGCAUGCCUGUUCGAGCGUCAUUGCUGCCCUCAAGCACGGCUUGUGUGUUGGGCUUCCGUCCCUGGCAACGGGGACGGGCCCAAAAGGCAGUGGCGGCACCAUGUCUGGUCCUCGAGCGUAUGGGGCUUUGUCACCCGCUCCCGUAGGUCCAGCUGGCAGCUAGCCUCGCAACCAAUCUUUUUAACCAGGUUGACCUCGGAUCAGGUACGGAUACCCGCUGAACUUAAGC